AGCGGAGGAAAAGAAACUAACAAGGAUUCCCCUAGUAACGGCGAGUGAAGUGGGAAAAGCUCAACUUUGAAAUCUGGCACUUUCAGUGUCCGAAUUGUAGUCUCAAGAAGUGUUUUCUGUGCUAGUCCGUGUAUGAGUCUGUUGGAACACAGCGUCAUAGAGGGUGACAACCCCGUUCAUGACACGGAUCCUAGUGCUUUGUGAUACACUCUCGAAGAGUCGAGUUGUUUGGGAAUGCAGCUCAAAUUGGGUGGUAAAUUCCAUCUAAAGCUAAAUAUUGGCGAGAGACCGAUAGCAAACAAGUACCGUGAGGGAAAGAUGAAAAGCACUUUGGAAAGAGAGUUAACAGUACGUGAAAUUGUUGAAAGGGAAACGAUUGAAGUCAGACGUGCGUGAUGCGGUUCAGCUCUGGUUCGCCAGAGUGUACUCCGUAUCUUUGCAGGCCAACAUCGGUUUUGUUAGUCGGAUAAAGGUUUGAGAAAUGUGGCACCUUCGGGUGUGUUAUAGUCUCAGACUGAAUACGAUUGAUGGGACCGAGGAACGCAGCGCGCCGCAAGGCAAAGGUUCCGACCUUUUCGCGCUUAGGAUGUUGGUGAAAUGGCUUUAAACGACCCGUCU
RNAcentral lists this ribosomal RNA (618 nucleotides) under Cystobasidium benthicum. RNAcentral's name for it is "eukaryotic LSU rRNA". It matches the Rfam family "Eukaryotic large subunit ribosomal RNA", at positions 49 to 654 of the family's 3401-position model. The record is from RNAcentral. Lineage: Eukaryota; Fungi; Basidiomycota; Cystobasidiomycetes; Cystobasidiales; Cystobasidiaceae.